CUUCUUUGGGCCACCAAGACUCUGCCCUAGGCUUACUGUUUCUGCACUUGAGGAUAUUCAUUCUGCCCAGCUGCAGGGGCUGGAGCUGUCUCAGCUACUGUGACUGGCUUCUAGAAUCCCUCCCCAUCAUUGUGGACUAAUGGCAUGAGCCAUCUAGUGAAGGUUGGUGAAGCCAGUGUUUCAUAACCACCUUCAUCCUGACCCUUUGUGGGUGUGCCGCGGGGCAGCUGCAAAACCAAUCCUCAAGUGACUGGUUCCUCAGCAGAAUCCCAGAGGGAAAGAGGAAUGACUAGGAGGGUUUAAGCACCAAAGCUUUACCCUGAACCUUUAACAAACUCUACAAACUAAAUAUUAUGAUUCCCCUUUGACUAAUGACUAGAAAGCCUGACUAAGCACAGCUUAGGACGUUUAGGUAGCCUGAGGAUGCAUUAGUAUUGUCUGAGCUGGGAUUUGAAACUAGGAUUGCCCAGCUCCAAAGCUCAGGC
This is a non-coding RNA of Kogia breviceps (pygmy sperm whale), 485 nucleotides long. Lineage: Eukaryota; Metazoa; Chordata; Mammalia; Artiodactyla; Physeteridae. The record is from RefSeq and is a predicted model, not a curated record.